RNAcentral lists this long non-coding RNA (298 nucleotides) under Prunus persica (peach). Its description in RNAcentral is "long non-coding RNA (PPER_LNC008655)". Lineage: Eukaryota; Viridiplantae; Streptophyta; Magnoliopsida; Rosales; Rosaceae. The record is from RNAcentral.
GCGAAUGUUGUAUGUCUUCACCUUCAGAAAGUUUUGAUUGAGAAGCCAGCUUAGAUCAUAGGAGCCACUGCAUGUACCCUGGGAUGGGGCUGAGAGUCACAAAUGUCUGAUUUUGAAGGGAAGAAAAGGCCAUGUGUCAGAGAGCAAAUCCAUGAGCAAGACUUAGACAGAAAAGUAUGAUAAAUAUUAUAUAUCCUCAAAUUUUUAAAAGAGACUGAAGCCCUUACAGAAAUAUUUGUCAUUUCUCUUUUCACAAGUGUGAUCACGCAUUUGAUUAGAAACCUUCCCAGGUUGAUCC